Long non-coding RNA from Lathyrus oleraceus (garden pea), 454 nucleotides. RefSeq lists it as uncharacterized. The record is from RefSeq and is a predicted model, not a curated record. The transcript is spliced from 2 exons. Lineage: Eukaryota; Viridiplantae; Streptophyta; Magnoliopsida; Fabales; Fabaceae.
GACCUAAACUAAACCAAUAUGGUUUCUACAAAAUCUUUUCUUAUUUGGGUUACCCUCAUUCUUUGUGUCUUUUCAACACCAAUGAAACUAGCUGGUGCUUCUCAGCUUCAUUCAAGGUCGUAUGAAAUGACUUGGAGUAGAUGUAGAAGGCUACUUGGCCUAGGAGCAUCAAAGAGCGAUAAGCCACAUGAUGAGCCUUGUUGCGGCAAUUACUAAAUUUCAACCAUUCCAUGGAUGCUUCGUUUCUUUUGUCAGAAAGAAAAACAAAGAAUAAUGGGUUUAUUGGUUUUUCUUAGUUGUAAUCGAAUUUAAUUUUGCAUUAGAUCAGUUUGUAUCAUAUUAUAAGACUGGUUCUUCUUUGUAUAAUAGUUAUAGAACCUAGUCGUACUCCAUGUAAUAUAUUUAUUUUGGGCUAAAUAUGCUUAUAAGUUUUUUACUAUUGCUUCAUUUUAAA